CUUCAGGUGGGGCCUCGCUGGAAGAAAUGGAAGGAAGGGGACCUUGAAGGUGCAGCAAACAUGGGUACAGGAAAGGAAAAUAAGAGUCCACCACGGCCGGUGAGUAUAUCCAUCAGGAUCCAAUCUUCGUGUAAACCAAGAGAUAAGCAGUUUCCCGCCUAGAAAGCAAAGAACACAUCAGCACAGAAAAAUGAAGCAUCCGCAGCGAAUCCAGGACACAACAUGCAUCAGUAAACUUCCCAGCUCUUAGGUCAAGCAUCCAUCUAACCCAUGACCCGAAUACGCUCAGCCACACAGCCGAUUUCAAUCGGUUGUCCAUGUAUUGUCCACAGCCUCUUCAGCGCCACAAGGGCGGCGCCACGCAGCUGCACCAGGAGCUGUGCUCCACAGCUGAGAACUUCCUCCCUCGCUCUCUACAGACAGCCUACCAGUCCCUGGCCUAAAUCAGAGGGCAUCGGGAACAAUCGGAAACAAAGAUCUGGCAUCCUGUAGAGCUUCUUAAAAGAAACGAA
Long non-coding RNA from Microtus oregoni (creeping vole), 512 nucleotides. RefSeq lists it as uncharacterized. The transcript has 3 exons. NCBI's taxonomy places the organism in Eukaryota, Metazoa, Chordata, Mammalia, Rodentia, Cricetidae. The record is from RefSeq and is a predicted model, not a curated record.